AGCUGCAUUUCAGAUCUACAGUGGAAAAAAGGUACUCUCCUCUGCUAAAGGCAGAUCUACAAUUUUAAGUCGUUCUCUGUAGAAUAUUACUUUAUUCACUUCUGGUUUAUGCCAACAUAUGCGGAUUUAGUGUGUAUGUGUGUGUAAUUGUUCAAAACUAUAGAGUUUAACCAGAAUUUUUAGAAACAGCAAAGAAGCCAAUUAUAUAAUAGUUGCUUUUUGUUCCCUUGUAAGAUUUGAAAGCCAAAGCAAAACACUAACUUUUCCUCUUUUUUGUUUUGUUUUCUGAGCAGUGGAGUUUUGAAGCUAAGGAAAAAUGGCAGGAAAAGGAGGGAAAGGGCUAGUAGCGGGGAAGACAACAGCUGCAGCGGCUGCUAACAAAGACAAAGACAAGAAAAAGCAGCCUAUCUCUCGUUCUUCUCGUGCUGGCCU
Molecule: long non-coding RNA, 432 nt
Filed under: Nicotiana tabacum (common tobacco)
Lineage: Eukaryota; Viridiplantae; Streptophyta; Magnoliopsida; Solanales; Solanaceae
Description: long non-coding RNA (NTAB_LNC006110)
Source: RNAcentral